Non-coding RNA from Podarcis lilfordi (Lilford's wall lizard), 76 nucleotides. Lineage: Eukaryota; Metazoa; Chordata; Lepidosauria; Squamata; Lacertidae. The record is from the annotation of a GenBank genome assembly.
GCUCCUGGGAUAGCUCAGUUGGUAGAGCAUAAGUCUCUUGAUCUCAGGGCUGGGGGUUUAAGCCCCACAUUGGGUA